CAGGUGUCAUGAGUAGUGAAAUUUCAGCCAUCUCAGCUUCAUCAAACACCAUAAAAGGGAUAAUGGCAAUGAGGAUACUCAAGCUCGUGAACACUCUGAUGAGGAAAUGGAUUCUGACGAGGAACAUGAGAGUUUUGUCAUUCAGAGCAAAAAUUAUGUGAUGAGAACAAAGCAGCUGAAGUUGGAAUAUAUUGAGAUGGCUAUAAUGUGGUGUGGUGUGACCCAUGAUUGACAUAAAUUAAGAAGAUUUGGUGGGCUUGGCUUGAUGACAACAUUGUUUUUUUGUGUCUGUACACGAUGGCAGCAGUGCUUUCGCCUUAUGUGUGCUGCUCUU
This is a long non-coding RNA of Zea mays, 334 nucleotides long. RefSeq lists it as uncharacterized. The transcript has 3 exons. Lineage: Eukaryota; Viridiplantae; Streptophyta; Magnoliopsida; Poales; Poaceae. The record is from RefSeq and is a predicted model, not a curated record.